AUGAACGCUAGCGACAGGCUUAACACAUGCAAGUCGAGGGGUAACAGGGUAGCAAUACCGCUGACGACCGGCGCACGGGUGAGUAACGCGUAUGCAACCUGCCUAUAACUGGGGAAUAGCUCCCUGAAAGGGGAAUUAACACCGCAUAACACUAUUGAUUCGCAUGGAUUAGUAGUUAAAUGUAGCGAUACAGGUUAUAGAUGGGCAUGCGUGACAUUAGCUAGUUGGUGAGGUAACGGCUCACCAAGGCUACGAUGUCUAGGGGUUCUGAGAGGAAGGUCCCCCACACUGGUACUGAGACACGGACCAGACUCCUACGGGAGGCAGCAGUGAGGAAUAUUGGUCAAUGGGCGCAAGCCUGAACCAGCCAUGUCGCGUGCAGGAAGACUGCCCUAUGGGUUGUAAACUGCUUUUAUAGUAGAAGAAACACAUCUACGUGUAGAUGUCUGCCAGUAUACUAUGAAUAAGCAUCGGCUAACUCCGUGCCAGCCGCUGC
RNAcentral lists this ribosomal RNA (496 nucleotides) under uncultured bacterium. RNAcentral's name for it is "bacterial SSU rRNA". It matches the Rfam family "Bacterial small subunit ribosomal RNA", at positions 29 to 518 of the family's 1533-position model. The record is from RNAcentral.